RNAcentral lists this long non-coding RNA (835 nucleotides) under Panax ginseng (ginseng). Its description in RNAcentral is "long non-coding RNA (PGIN_LNC009455)". Lineage: Eukaryota; Viridiplantae; Streptophyta; Magnoliopsida; Apiales; Araliaceae. The record is from RNAcentral.
AACUUUUGUAUGGCAAUUUACAACUAAUGGUUUUGUCCUUCUAUUAGAGUUCUAAGCUAAUGGAUAUGGACUGUUAUUUUUCUGAAACUUUUUUGUCGGCUAAUUGAUGAAUUUCUCAAUGAUAUUUAAUUAUUAUCAUUAUUCUGCUAUACUCUUUACUUUCCUUGUUAUCAUACUAAACCUUACUUUGCAUCUUAAAAUUUAGUUGCACUGUUUGAUAUGUCAUGGCAAUUGGGGACAAAUAAUACUAAUGAGAUAGCUUUUACCAGAACUCGAUCACAGCAGCUAUGAAGCUUUGCUUGGGAGAACGGAGGAUGUGGGUUGCCUGUGGAGGAUGUGGGUUGCCUGUGGAGGCCAUUAAUGAACUCCAGUAAAGGGAAUACGUCUUGAGAAAUCACUGUUGAUCUUUAAUCAUGCUAUUUUGUGUCGCUUGUACGAGAAAAGCAUUUACGUCCAUGUUUUCGUUUUUCCAUUUUCCUGUUUCUCCAACAGAGAUGAUAUAAUAGGUUGAGUAAUAGUCAGUCUCACGGAUAAAUUAUGUCAAUACUUGUGGUUGUACCUGUAAUAAGAGUGAUUAUUUUUCUAUUAUGUGAUGACACAACAGAUUUCUCUAUGUCCUUCUCUUCAUCUAGUAUUUGACAAUAGAUCAAAAGUUUUAUCUGGGAUCUCAAUAUGAUUGUAUGAGAUUUUAUAGUGAUGGUCUAGGCGUAAAAUGACCAAAAUAGUUGGGUUUUGUCAUUGUUGAUUAUUAUAUUACAAUGAAAUUAUUAAAUAACAAAUAAAGUGUUGGGAUAGCGGGAAUUUGUUAUUUAGCUUCAAAAUGAUUAGUGGCAAC